AGUGAACGCUGGCGGUAGGCCUAACACAUGCAAGUCGAACGGCAGCACAGUAAGAGCUUGCUCUUACGGGUGGCGAGUGGCGGACGGGUGAGGAAUACAUCGGAAUCUACUUUUUCGUGGGGGAUAACGUAGGGAAACUUACGCUAAUACCGCAUACGACCUACGGGUGAAAGCAGGGGAUCUUCGGACCUUGCGCGGUUGAAUGAGCCGAUGUCGGAUUAGCUAGUUGGCGGGGUAAAGGCCCACCAAGGCGACGAUCCGUAGCUGGUCUGAGAGGAUGAUCAGCCACACUGGAACUGAGACACGGUCCAGACUCCUACGGGAGGCAGCAGUGGGGAAUAUUGGACAAUGGGCGCAAGCCUGAUCCAGUCAUACCGCGUGGGUGAAGAAGGCCUUCGGGUUGUAAAGCCCUUUUGUUGGGAAAGAAAAGCAGCAGGUUAAUACCCCGCUGUUCUGACGGUACCCAAAGAAUAAGCACCGGCUAACUUCGUG
This 492-nucleotide ribosomal RNA is filed under the name uncultured bacterium. Its description in RNAcentral is "partial 16S ribosomal RNA". It matches the Rfam family "Bacterial small subunit ribosomal RNA", at positions 29 to 507 of the family's 1533-position model. The record is from RNAcentral.